This 645-nucleotide ribosomal RNA is filed under the name Acinetobacter baumannii. Its description in RNAcentral is "bacterial SSU rRNA". It matches the Rfam family "Bacterial small subunit ribosomal RNA", at positions 1 to 641 of the family's 1533-position model. The record is from RNAcentral. Lineage: Bacteria; Pseudomonadati; Pseudomonadota; Gammaproteobacteria; Moraxellales; Moraxellaceae.
AACUGAAGAGUUUGAUCAUGGCUCAGAUUGAACGCUGGCGGCAGGCUUAACACAUGCAAGUCGAGCGGGGGAAGGUAGCUUGCUACCGGACCUAGCGGCGGACGGGUGAGUAAUGCUUAGGAAUCUGCCUAUUAGUGGGGGACAACAUCUCGAAAGGGAUGCUAAUACCGCAUACGUCCUACGGGAGAAAGCAGGGGAUCUUCGGACCUUGCGCUAAUAGAUGAGCCUAAGUCGGAUUAGCUAGUUGGUGGGGUAAAGGCCUACCAAGGCGACGAUCUGUAGCGGGUCUGAGAGGAUGAUCCGCCACACUGGGACUGAGACACGGCCCAGACUCCUACGGGAGGCAGCAGUGGGGAAUAUUGGACAAUGGGGGGAACCCUGAUCCAGCCAUGCCGCGUGUGUGAAGAAGGCCUUAUGGUUGUAAAGCACUUUAAGCGAGGAGGAGGCUACUUUAGUUAAUACCUAGAGAUAGUGGACGUUACUCGCAGAAUAAGCACCGGCUAACUCUGUGCCAGCAGCCGCGGUAAUACAGAGGGUGCGAGCGUUAAUCGGAUUUACUGGGCGUAAAGCGUGCGUAGGCGGCUUAUUAAGUCGGAUGUGAAAUCCCCGAGCUUAACUUGGGAAUUGCAUUCGAUACUGGUGAGC